RNAcentral lists this ribosomal RNA (929 nucleotides) under uncultured bacterium. RNAcentral's name for it is "bacterial SSU rRNA". It matches the Rfam family "Bacterial small subunit ribosomal RNA", at positions 8 to 916 of the family's 1533-position model. The record is from RNAcentral.
AGAGUUUGAUCCUGGCUCAGGACGAACGCUGGCGGCGUGCCUAAUACAUGCAAGUCGAGCGGACUGAAAGGAGAGCUCGCUCUCCUUUCAGUCAGCGGCGGACGGGUGAGUAACACGUGGGUAACCUGCCUGUAAGACCGGGAUAACUCGCGGAAACGCGAGCUAAUACCGGAUAGGUCCCGUGGCCGCAUGGCGACGGGAGGAAAGAUGGCGCGAGCUAUCGCUUACAGAUGGGCCCGCGGCGCAUUAGCUAGUUGGUGGGGUAACGGCCCACCAAGGCGACGAUGCGUAGCCGACCUGAGAGGGUGAUCGGCCACAUUGGGACUGAGACACGGCCCAAACUCCUACGGGAGGCAGCAGUAGGGAAUCUUCCGCAAUGGGCGAAAGCCUGACGGAGCAACGCCGCGUGAGCGAAGAAGGCCUUCGGGUCGUAAAGCUCUGUUGUCAGGGAAGAACAAGUACCGGAGUAACUGCCGGUACCUUGACGGUACCUGACCAGAAAGCCCCGGCUAACUACGUGCCAGCAGCCGCGGUAAUACGUAGGGGGCGAGCGUUGUCCGGAAUCAUUGGGCGUAAAGCGCGCGCAGGCGGUCCCUUAAGUCUGAUGUGAAAUCUUGCGGCUCAACCGCAAGAGGUCAUUGGAAACUGGGGGACUUGAGUGCAGGAGAGGGAAGCGGAAUUCCAUGUGUAACGGUGAAAUGCGUAGGGAUAUGGAGGAACACCAGUGGCGAAGGCGGCUUCCUGGCCUGUAACUGACGCUCAGGCGCGAAAGCGUGGGGAGCAAACAGGAUUAGAUACCCUGGUAGUCCACGCCGUAAACGAUGAGUGCUAGGUGUUGGAGGGGUUUACCCUUCAGUGCUGGAGCUAACGCAUUAAGCACUCCGCCUGGGGAGUACGGCCGCAAGGCUGAAACUCAAAUGAAUUGACGG